CAGCAGCCGCGGUAAUACGAAGGGGGCUAGCGUUGUUCGGAUUUACUGGGCGUAAAGGGCGCGUAGGCGGACUGAUAAGUCAGGGGUGAAAUCCCAGAGCUCAACUCUGGAACUGCCUUUGAUACUGGGUAUCUUGAGUAUGGAAGAGGUGAGUGGAAUUCCGAGUGUAGAGGUGAAAUUCGUAGAUAUUCGGAGGAACACCAGUGGCGAAGGCGGCUCACUGGUCCAUUACUGACGCUGAGGUGCGAAAGCGUGGGGAGCAAACAGGAUUAGAUACCCCUGUAGUCCCUGUCUCUUAUAC
This 301-nucleotide ribosomal RNA is filed under the name uncultured bacterium. RNAcentral describes it as "partial 16S ribosomal RNA". It matches the Rfam family "Bacterial small subunit ribosomal RNA", at positions 509 to 807 of the family's 1533-position model. The record is from RNAcentral.